AGGUGCUCUGGGCCCCCAGCCCAGCCCUCUUCGAGUGGGCUUCCUCCCUGGAUGGGCCCUGAGCCAGGCCAGGGGGGUUGCAGGGCUGGGCACAGGCUCUGAGUGCAGGCCUAGUGAGACUCUGAGCGCAGCAGCCCUCACCACGCACACAGUCAGGCUGGCCUGAAGCCCUGGAAUCCUGGCCAAGACGGGAAAGAGCCACAAAGCGCUUGCAACUGGAUCCACCGGGCACCACCAACUCAGCAGGAGAUAAGGAAAGCUCUCCGGCCUUGACCUGCGUGUCUCCAUCCUUUGGCUCCCAGCUCGAACACCGCCUCUUCCAGGAAACCUGCUACAACCCUCACGGGCUCCGAGCCCCG
Leopardus geoffroyi (Geoffroy's cat) is the source of this 359-nucleotide long non-coding RNA. RefSeq lists it as uncharacterized. NCBI's taxonomy places the organism in Eukaryota, Metazoa, Chordata, Mammalia, Carnivora, Felidae. The transcript is spliced from 4 exons. The record is from RefSeq and is a predicted model, not a curated record.